Molecule: transfer RNA, 85 nt
Filed under: Felis catus (domestic cat)
Lineage: Eukaryota; Metazoa; Chordata; Mammalia; Carnivora; Felidae
Rfam family: tRNA
About the family: Transfer RNA (tRNA) molecules are approximately 80 nucleotides in length. Their secondary structure includes four short double-helical elements and three loops (D, anti-codon, and T loops).
Source: Rfam by way of RNAcentral
GCCUGGGUGGCUCAGUUGGUUGAGCGUCUGACUUCGGCUCAGGUCAUGAUCUCACGGUUCGUGGGUUUGAGCCCCGCGUCGGGCU